This 3309-nucleotide long non-coding RNA is filed under the name Gallus gallus (chicken). Its description in RNAcentral is "lncRNA (ENSGALG00010006632.1)". The record is from RNAcentral. Lineage: Eukaryota; Metazoa; Chordata; Aves; Galliformes; Phasianidae.
AGCGAGCGAGCGACAGGCUGCGGCCGGGGAACGAGCCCAACUUCGGCUCUCAACUUUGUUUUCGCUGCAGUAAACGCUGACAGAAGCGUCGGGGACAUCUGUGGUGUGACAGCAAACUUCCUUCUCUGCCGGGGACUGAACUGAGCCCUGUGGGAUCACCACUUCAGUAUUCCAGAAGGAAGCAAUGGAAGACUUGUUACCUGUGAACAGACUUGUCCUAUGAACUAUUACAGCACGUACGUAAGAUUUCAGAAGUAACUGGUUUUUGAAGUGAAAACUCAGGUUAAUCCCAAGAACAGAAGACCUUGUCGGAAUAUGCUGGAGAAACAUCACUGUUGAAGUUGCUGUUUGCUCUAGUGGAUAAUCUAUUCCUGAAUAGAUCUUCAGUGCCAAAGGAAUAUAAAGUGACAAAUACCAUUUCAGUCUGUGAAACAAUCUCUCUGUUUCCUGAGCACUACAAAACAGAUCUUUCUCAGAGGUAAACUGAAUUUCUCUGAGCUAAAUACAGUAAUAGGAGAAUUAGGAAAUACAUAUAAUGGUUUAUAGAAGACUAAAUGUGGGAUUUUUUUGUAUUACAAAAUAAUGCCUCACGCUCUGCUAGAAUUUUGAGGGCCUGGUGCACACGUGGCUAGCAUAGUUCAUGUGCUAUUGCAGGUCACCUAGAAGAAAGCUAAUUAUGAUCUUUAGCAAAAACCCAAAGUUAUACAUAUUUGUUAAAAUUAGAACUUGACUGUAAAGACUUAAAGAUUUGUCUACUGCUAAGAUAACAAAAUGGGAACUGCAGAUGCUGCUAUGUAUGUGGGAAAAAUAAAAAUAUAAAAAAGCAUGUGCAGCAACAGUUUUUAAUUGGAAAAACAUUUCUGACAGUCUACUGAAAAGCAUUUGGUCAGUCCCCUGUAACAUUCAAAAAGCAUGUAGGAGUAUUAGGAAUAAUGCAGCUAUAAUGUGUAGGGCUGUGACUGAAAAAGACUACAUAGGAUCUAAAAGACGUACGGGAAAAGAUUUUCAAAGUAAUCAGUUCUGUGAUUGGGUUACAGUGCACAAUGAGGUUAAAUACACUAGGAAUUUUCAAUAAUAAGACACAGUGAUUAAGGGCCAAAUAUUAUGGAAGUAUAGAAAAUCAUAAGCAUUUUAAUUGCCAUGGGAUAGCACGGUGAUGAAAAUGGGUUUAUCGUUUUUCUGGAGGAUAAGUCUGCAAGGAUCUGUUAAACAUAAUUAUCCAAAUGUGACCUCUGGCUCUGGAGGGCUAUCAGAUAUGCUUUUCCCUCUUCCAUGUGUCUGCUGAUCUGAUUCCUUCAAAGGCUUUUUUUUACUGCCUAAAAUAAUCAACUUUCAUUUGCCUGCCACUGAGGUAUUAUGAAAGCUUGAAGCAAUGUUUAAUUUUGCCUUGGAAAAGAAACUAUAUCUACAAGAACUUGAAACAUGUAUUAUGCUGAAGAAAAUACAUUCUCAUGUUUUAUGCUUGCUUAUUUAAUGGUUUUCCUGCAUUUGAAGCACAAAAGUAAAAUGUGAUCUCUUUAUUUGUAUGAAAUAAUUCAUGGAGCUCAGAACAUGAGUAGAAAGAUAUUAUGCUCCAAAGAUAUUGCUUUGUGAUUGAUUCAGGUGAUUUGCGAGUAUGUAGGGCUAUGACACGUUAUUGUAAUCAAAGAAAUGUUUGUAUAGCACCAGCAAUGCAUGCAUUGCAAGGCCAGAAAACAUUGUGCUAACUGCCUGCUUUAAUCAGAGGACAGAGGUAGUAAAGCUUAACUGAAUUCUCUCUUGUCAAGCUAUUCUUGUACUGUAUCUCUUAAUUAUUUUAAAAGAGUUUACGUAUUUUCCAACUACCAAGCAAUAGAAACAAAUAUUUAAUAACUCUCCUAACAUUGCCUUUGUAGUGUCAGCUUUGUUUCAGAAAUAUGCUGUCAUAUUUCCUACAGAAUUUCCUUUCUGUGCCCUUUAUUGCUUCUCACUUACCUUAAUAACAUCCUUUAAUCUUUGCCCUUGGGACUAAAUAAUGGAUGUUCAACACCAUCUUUACUUUUGAAUGAUGCUUGAAAUGCAGAGCAGCAUAGUUUAUUUAUCCUUCAAAUCUAAGGAUACUUAGAAUUCCCAAUGCUUAAGCUCUGAAGACUAAGUAUAGGGCAACAAAUAAUGUUUUUCUGCAUAGCAGCCUUCAUGGCUGCCAGUUAGAUAGUUAUUCAGAUAUGUGUUUUUUGAUUAGUUGAUCAGCUGAUUUUUUUUCUUUCCAGUUUUCUGCUGUUCUGCCAGCUCUGCUGUUUGUCAGGCUUUGCAGGAGAAAGCCAGCUGUCCUGUUAAAUUACCAGUCUUUUCAAGAGGAAGUCAACUUCAGCGUUCUUUUAACUGAUAGAUAAACCUACACUGCCAGAAAUAAAAAAAAUAAAGAAAGAAAGAAAAAAACUUGUACAACUGUACUCAAUAUCUAGCUUCAUGACUACAAAUGCUCUCAUAGUUGUGUGAGGAUGAGAAAUAUCUAAAAUUUGUCUAUAUCGUCAUAAAUAUUGUAAGCACAUUGCUUCUGUGUUUCUUUUUUUCACUGUUAGGGGCAGUGAGCACCUGAAGAAGUGGUUUCUUACUCUUACUGAAUUAUAUAGAAUCACAGAAUGGCUUAGAUUGGAGGGGAUCUUAAAAGUCAUCUAGUUCCAACCCUCCUGCCGUGGGUUGCCUAUCACUAGACCAGGCUGCCCAGGAUCCCAUCCAACCUGGCCUUGAAUGCUUCCAGAGAUGGGCCAUCCACAACCUAACAUCUAACCUCAAUCUCUCCUCUCUUAGUUUAUAGCCAUUGCCCCUUUCCUGCCACUACUAGACUGUGUAAAAAGUCCUCAAGUAUAAAAAGCUCCCCGCAGAUACUGUGGAAGACCACCAUGAGGUCUCCCCAGAGCCUUCUCUUCUCCAAUCUAAACAAACACAGUUCCCUCAACCUUUUCUCAUAGGAGAGGUGCUCCAGCCCCUUGAUGAUCUUAAUGGCCCCCCUCUGGAUCCACUUCAACAGCUCUGCAUCCCUCCUGUACUGAGGGCCUCAGGCCUGGAUGCAGUACUCCAGAUGGGGCCUUACAAGGGCAGAGUAGAAGCCACCCAUCCCAUUCCACUGCUUAUACUUUUCCUCUUUUCUGUCAGCUUGGUUGGCAGGUCCUUGCUCAGCCAUGCUGCUUUACUUCCUCAUCUGCCUGAUUUCUUAUUCUGGGGGAUGGAAUCCUCUUGUGCUUGAUGCUUCUUUCAAGAAAAACAUCUUUGUGAUACCCUCUCUUGCUCUUUGGUUGCUAUGGUUUUGCUGCUUAAGAACUAAAAAAGUAAAGGAACACUGAUUGUAGC